Non-coding RNA from Fusarium culmorum, 109 nucleotides. Lineage: Eukaryota; Fungi; Ascomycota; Sordariomycetes; Hypocreales; Nectriaceae. The record is from the annotation of a GenBank genome assembly.
CCCGAGUUGGUGCAAUGGUAGUAUGUCCGAUCUCACUGAUACAGAGGCUGCAGCUCUAGAAUCGGCCCUUCGGGGGCGGAAGACUCAGGUUCAAAUUCUGAACUUGGGA